UGGGUAGUCCGCACGAGCGCACCUUACUUUUAGUUGCCACCAUUUAGUUGAGCACUCUAAAAGAACUGCCAGUGAUAAGCUGGAGGAAGGCGGGGAUGACGUCAAGUCCUCAUGGCCCUUACGUGUUGGGCUACACACGUGCUACAAUGGCACUUACAAUGAGAUGCAAAGAGGCGACUCCUAGCCAAUCUCAAAAAAGUGCCUCAGUUCGGAUUGUACUCUGCAACUCGAGUACAUGAAGCUGGAAUUGCUAGUAAUCGCGGAUCAGCGCGCCGCGGUGAAUACGUUCCCGGGUCUUGUACACACCGCCCGUCACACCAUGGAAGUUGGUUACACCUAAAGGCAAAACGUAAAACUUUUGACUACGGUACGAUCAGCGACUGGGGUGAAGUCGUAACAAGGUAGCCGUAGGGGAACCUGCGGCUGGAUCACCUCCUUUCU
RNAcentral lists this ribosomal RNA (441 nucleotides) under uncultured Pelagibacterales bacterium. RNAcentral describes it as "bacterial SSU rRNA". It matches the Rfam family "Bacterial small subunit ribosomal RNA", at positions 1077 to 1533 of the family's 1533-position model. The record is from RNAcentral. Lineage: Bacteria; Pseudomonadati; Pseudomonadota; Alphaproteobacteria; Candidatus Pelagibacterales.